Molecule: ribosomal RNA, 827 nt
Filed under: Salmonella enterica subsp. enterica serovar Bareilly
Lineage: Bacteria; Pseudomonadati; Pseudomonadota; Gammaproteobacteria; Enterobacterales; Enterobacteriaceae
Description: partial 23S ribosomal RNA
Rfam family: Bacterial large subunit ribosomal RNA
Source: RNAcentral
UGUUUCGGCUAGGGGGCCAUCCCGGCUUACCAACCCGAUGCAAACUGCGAAUACCGGAGAAUGUUAUCACGGGAGACACACGGCGGGUGCUAACGUCCGUCGUGAAGAGGGAAACAACCCAGACCGCCAGCUAAGGUCCCAAAGUCAUGGUUAAGUGGGAAACGAUGUGGGAAGGCCCAGACAGCCAGGAUGUUGGCUUAGAAGCAGCCAUCAUUUAAAGAAAGCGUAAUAGCUCACUGGUCGAGUCGGCCUGCGCGGAAGAUGUAACGGGGCUAAACCAUGCACCGAAGCUGCGGCAGCGACACUCAGGUGUUGUUGGGUAGGGGAGCGUUCUGUAAGCCUGUGAAGGUGUGUCGUGAGGCAUGCUGGAGGUAUCAGAAGUGCGAAUGCUGACAUAAGUAACGAUAAAGCGGGUGAAAAGCCCGCUCGCCGGAAGACCAAGGGUUCCUGUCCAACGUUAAUCGGGGCAGGGUGAGUCGACCCCUAAGGCGAGGCCGAAAGGCGUAGUCGAUGGGAAACGGGUUAAUAUUCCCGUACUUGGUGUUACUGCGAAGGGGGGACGGAGAAGGCUAUGUUGGCCGGGCGACGGUUGUCCCGGUUUAAGCGUGUAGGUGUGUGUUCCAGGUAAAUCCGGUCCACUUUAACACUGAGGCGUGAUGACGAGGCACUACGGUGCUGAAGCAACAAAUGCCCUGCUUCCAGGAAAAGCCUCUAAGCAUCAGGUAACAUCAAAUCGUACCCCAAACCGACACAGGUGGUCAGGUAGAGAAUACCAAGGCGCUUGAGAGAACUCGGGUGAAGGAACUAGGCAAAAUGGUGCCGUAACU